GACGAACGCUGGCGGCGUGCUUAACACAUGCAAGUCGAACGGAAAGGCCCUGCUUUUGUGGGGUGCUCGAGUGGCGAACGGGUGAGUAACACGUGAGUAACCUGCCCUUGACUUUGGGAUAACUUCAGGAAACUGGGGCUAAUACCGGAUAGGAGCUCCUGCUGCAUGGGGGGGGUUGGAAAGUUUCGGCGGUUGUGGAUGGACUCGCGGCUUAUCAGCUUGGUGGUGGGGUAGUGGCGUACCAAGGCUUUGACGGGUAGCCGGCCUGAGAGGGUGACCGGCCACAUUGGGACUGAGAUACGGCCCAGACUCCUACGGGAGGCAGCAGUGGGGAAUCUUGCGCAAUGGGCGGAAGCCUGAUGCAGCAACGCCGCGUGCGGGAUGACGGCCUUCGGGUUGUAAACCGCUUUCGCCUGUGACGAAGCGUGAGUGACGGUAAUGGGUAAAGAAGCACCGGCUAACUACGUG
This 468-nucleotide ribosomal RNA is filed under the name uncultured bacterium. Its description in RNAcentral is "partial 16S ribosomal RNA". It matches the Rfam family "Bacterial small subunit ribosomal RNA", at positions 28 to 507 of the family's 1533-position model. The record is from RNAcentral.